GGGGAUGUAGCUAAGUGGUACAGUGCUUGCCUAGUAUGCAUGAGGUCCUGGGUUCAAUCCCUAACACCUA
RNAcentral lists this transfer RNA (70 nucleotides) under Ictidomys tridecemlineatus (thirteen-lined ground squirrel). RNAcentral describes it as "Spermophilus tridecemlineatus (thirteen-lined ground squirrel) tRNA". It matches the Rfam family "tRNA". Rfam says of the family: Transfer RNA (tRNA) molecules are approximately 80 nucleotides in length. Their secondary structure includes four short double-helical elements and three loops (D, anti-codon, and T loops). Further hydrogen bonds mediate the characteristic L-shaped molecular structure. tRNAs have two regions of fundamental functional importance: the anti-codon, which is responsible for specific mRNA codon recognition, and the 3' end, to which the tRNAs corresponding amino acid is attached (by aminoacyl-tRNA synthetases). tRNAs cope with the degeneracy of the genetic code in two manners: having more than one tRNA (with a specific anti-codon) for a particular amino acid; and 'wobble' base-pairing, i.e. permitting non-standard base-pairing at the 3rd anti-codon position. Lineage: Eukaryota; Metazoa; Chordata; Mammalia; Rodentia; Sciuridae. The record is from Rfam by way of RNAcentral.